GGCCUAUGGAGCAGAUAGGAAGGAACUCAGAGCUACACUACCCUGAGGGCUGUGUUUGCAUUUUUUGAUCACCUUUUCAUACGCACACGAGAUAAAGCUAUAAGUACAACAAAUAAUUGUGAUGGUAAAAUGAUUGGGCUUCAUCAAGCAUAGUGACUGAAAUGGUUUGUCUUAAAUGUAGGAAUUUCCUUCCUUGUCAAUGUUUCCUUUCUCUAACUGUAAACACUAUUCUCGUGUAUUUCCCGUUUUCCUCUAUUCUUCCAUCUUAGAUUGUAAUAAAUUCGGGUGUAGCACAACUACACAGUGUUUUUUCAACUUGAGUUGUUUUUACAUUCAAAUCACCAUUUUACGUCAUUACUUGAGUUGAGGGUUUUGCAAAACAGUCUCUCAACCUCCUUGAGGUAGGGAUGAGGUCGGGGUACACUCUAACUUUCUCUUGCUACACUUGUGAGAUUAUACUAGGUAUGUUGUUAUCACCAUUUUACCUCGUUUAUUCAUUAGAUCAUCUUAACAGUGUAAAUAGACGUUAACCUAUCUUGGUCCCCUCAGUAGUCACUACACCCUAGCAGGGUCCUAUCAACUUUUAUAAAUAAGAAAGCACAACCAGUUGUAUUAGUAAAGUCUCAAGUUAGAGUAAUCUUCUCUCCAAAAUUCUCUCUGAAGAGAACAGAAAUGAAACAGAUCCAACUAAGCAGCAUAUAGAAAACGGUAGUACCCGAGCUCAAGCAUGUAAAGCUUGAUGUAUAAGCAGAAUAUCAACAUUUUGUAUAAGCAGAAUAUCAACAUGAGUAGGCUAUAUGUCGAAAUCAUAUAUCUAAAGAUUAGCAUGUUUAUUAAUCACAAUAGAUAAACAAGAGUCAUCGAGCAAGUUGAACGAGCCUUCCCCCAUCACAGAACUAUCGAAAUACAAACUUUCAACAUAUAUUCAAAAGAAAUUAGUAAAUCAAAUGAAAUCCAGAAUGUAAAAAGACCAAUAAAAUCACAAACCCCAGAAUUGAGAAGCAUAAAACAAGAAUCAAUAGCUUGACAUUACACAUAUAACCAAGUAAUGGUAGUAUUUUUUGGACAGCCAGAGCUAGGUGUUUAAACAGUGGUACUUCCAGCACUAUGUUGUUGACAUUGGUAGGAAAAAUAAGGUCCCGCUGAGAAGGAAACUACAACCUAGGUACCUCAAAAUAAUCACACAGUUCUACUUAAUAUUAUUUAUAGCAAGGAUCUACAGAUUGCUUACUAAUGUCAUCAUAAAUUUGUGUUUUCUCCUGCCAUAAGGAUAUUUCUUUUCUCUAUAUAUGAAUUUUAGCUAGUGACCCCGUUCAAUGACUUAUAAUUCUAUUUGGUUAAGAGAUGUGUGAGAAGUGUAUGAAAUAUUUCCCCAUAUAUACACUGAUACUUUUCUUAUGGCAACAUUGAAAGAGGGAGAAGCUGCUGCAAAAGCUAAGGAAUCUAAGAAGAGCAAUCAUGUAUUUCUAUUUGUCCAUCAAUAGAAAUUUAUACUAUGUAUUUAUCUAUGUAUUAUUGAUUCUUAUAUCUAUGUAUUUAUUUUCUCAUAAUUUAUGUCACAGAGUUGGACCGAUAAGCUUGAACCCCAAGAAAAGAGAGCAACAUUUAGAUAACAAGGAAAAAAUAUAAAAGGCGGGCGGAAAGAGAUAACGAGUAGAACUGGACACAAUUCAGACACAAACAAUUAGCACACAAAGGUAUGACUUGAUGAGACUCUAAUUUUACAAUCAGAGCGCGAGUAAAUGGAUAAGUCAAGCAAGCAGAUUU
This 1767-nucleotide long non-coding RNA is filed under the name Solanum tuberosum (potato). RNAcentral describes it as "long non-coding RNA (STUB_LNC008064)". The record is from RNAcentral. Lineage: Eukaryota; Viridiplantae; Streptophyta; Magnoliopsida; Solanales; Solanaceae.